Molecule: ribosomal RNA, 497 nt
Filed under: uncultured bacterium
Lineage: Bacteria
Description: partial 16S ribosomal RNA
Rfam family: Bacterial small subunit ribosomal RNA
Source: RNAcentral
GAUGAACGCUGGCGGCGUGCCUAAUACAUGCAAGUCGAGCGAACAGACGAGGAGCUUGCUCCUCUGACGUUAGCGGCGGACGGGUGAGUAACACGUGGAUAACCUACCUAUAAGACUGGGAUAACUUCGGGAAACCGGAGCUAAUACCGGAUCAUAUAUUGAACCGCAUGGUUCAAUAGUGAAAGACGGUUUUGCUGUCACUUAUAGAUGGUUCCGCGACGCAUUAGCUAGUUGGUAAGGUAACGGCUUACCAAGGCAACGAUGCGUAGCCGACCUGAGAGGGUGAUCGGCCACACUGGAACUGAGACACGGUCCAGACUCCUACGGGAGGCAGCAGUAGGGAAUCUUCCGCAAUGGGCGAAAGCCUGACGGAGCAACGCCGCGUGAGUGAUGAAGGUCUUCGGAUCGUAAAACUCUGUUAUUAGGGAAGAACAAAUGUGUAAGUAACUAUGCACGUCUUGACGGUACCUAAUCAGAAAGCCACGGCUAACUACGUG